Long non-coding RNA from Oncorhynchus masou masou (cherry salmon), 477 nucleotides. RefSeq lists it as uncharacterized. The transcript is spliced from 3 exons. The record is from RefSeq and is a predicted model, not a curated record. NCBI's taxonomy places the organism in Eukaryota, Metazoa, Chordata, Actinopteri, Salmoniformes, Salmonidae.
GUAAGAGCUAAAAAGAGAGAGGGAGAGAGAACAGGCAGAACCUGAUAUGUAAAUGAGCAGAGCAAAUGAAACUAACUUUUGACGACCCGAUGAUCAUUCAGACUCUGUUUCUAUUGAGAGAUAAAAGGCUGGUUGAAUGAGUUGUCUAUGAAAGCUACUUCAUCUGUGAGAAAACAGGCGUCUGCACCAGUGACUGGGUCAGUGCUCUAAAAUGAGUCUCUCUGGGGAGAGAGAGGAGGGGGCCCUGCCUCUAAAAUGCAUCUCUCUGGGGGACAUGACACCAAAGCUAAGAGGUAAGAUGACCAUUUAUAAAGAAUUUAUCGAGUUCAUUAAAAAAAUAAAGAGCUAUCUUAAGAUGAAACACUAUAUAUCCAUUGUUAAUCAGGAAUGGAAUGUUGGUAUCCUGUAUAUUUGACUGUGAUAUGUGGUUGUCUCACCUUGAUAUCUUAAGAUGAAUGCACUUACUGUAAAUCACUC